Non-coding RNA from Caenorhabditis elegans, 81 nucleotides. The record is from Ensembl. NCBI's taxonomy places the organism in Eukaryota, Metazoa, Nematoda, Chromadorea, Rhabditida, Rhabditidae.
CAUCACCAAGUUGUCUUCUCUUCCUUUUCUUCUUCUCCUUCUUCAUCCAAACAAUGAUUCCCAGGGGGGCUUACUUACUUG